RNAcentral lists this transfer RNA (61 nucleotides) under Hygrobates taniguchii. RNAcentral's name for it is "tRNA-Lys". The record is from RNAcentral. Lineage: Eukaryota; Metazoa; Arthropoda; Arachnida; Trombidiformes; Hygrobatidae.
CUUUUAGUGGCUGAGUAUAGCAUUGGCCUCUUAAGCCAAACCACGGUUUUCCCCUAAAAGA